GUGGCGCAGUGGUUAACGAAUCCGACUAGGAACCAUGAAGUUGCGGGUUCGGUCCCUGCCCUUGCUCAGUGGGUUAAUGAUCCGGCAUUGCCGUGAGCUGUGGCGUAGGUUGCAGACGCGGCUCGGAUCCCAUGUUGCUGUGGCUCUGGCGUAGGCCAGUAGCUACAGCUCUGAUUAGACCCCUAGCCUGGGAACCUCCAUAUGCUGCGGGAGCGGCCCAAAGAAAUAGCAAAAAGACAAAAAAAUAAAUAAAUAAAUAAAAUAAAAAAUAUGAUGAAGCCCAAUUUACUUACCUUUCUGUUUUGCCGCCUGUGGUUUUAUGUCACAAGCACAUCCAGUGUUAUGAGGCUUUUCCCCUGUGUUUACUUCUUUUAUAGUUUCAGCUCUUACUUUUAGGCCUUUCAUCUACUUUGAGUAAGUUUUUGUACGUGGGGUAAACAAAGUUCUACUAUCAUUCUUUUUUUAAAUUGUUUUGUUUUGUUUGUUUUACAGCCACACCUGCAGCAUAUGCAAGUUCCUGGGCUAGGGGUGCAAUCAAAGCUGUAGUUGAGGCCUAUGCCUCAGCCAUUGCAACACCAGAACCAAGAUGUAUUUGUGACACAUGCCACAGGUUGCAGCAAUGCCAGGUCCUUAAAGCACUGAGCCACAAUGGGAACUCCUUCCUUUUCUUAGAAGAGUUUGAGAAGGAUUGGUGUUAAUUCUUUUUAAUGUUCGGUAGAAUCAAAUCAGUAAAGUCAUCUGGUCUUCAGGUUUUCUUUGUUGGAAGAUUAAAGAAAAGUAGAUUCCUUUCUUUUUUGUUUUUUCUAGGGCCGCUCCGGUGGCAUAUGGAGGUUCCCAGGUUAGGGGUCUAACUAUGCCAGAGCCAUAGCAACGCGGGAUCCAAGCUGCAUCUGCGACCUACACCACAGCUCAUGGCAAUGCUGGAUCCUGAACCCACUGAGCAAGGCCACGGAUUGAACCUGCAACCUCAUGGCUCCUAGUCAGAUACAUUAACCACUGUGCCACGACAAGAACUCUAAGAAAAGUAGAUUAUUUUCUAGAGAAGUUUUAAGUUCACAGCAAAAUCAAGCAGAAAGCUCAGAGUUCCCAAAUGUUCCUUAACACCACACAUGUAAAGUCUCCUCCACUAUCAAUAUCCUGAAUCAAAAUGGUGCACUUGUGAGCAUACACUGACACAUCAUUUUUGCAUAAAGCCCACCCUUGAUCCUGUGCAUUCUAUGGGUUUUGACAAAUGAAUAAGGACAUGCAUUCAUGUGUCAUAAAGAAUAGUUUCGCUGCCCUAAAAAUUCUGUUCCAUCUCUUCAUCACUCCCUUCCCCCAAUCCUUGACAACCAUGGAUCUUUUGUUACUGCCUCUAGUUUAGCUUUUUCAUAGUGUCAUAUAAUUGGAUGUCAUAUAGUAUGUCAACUUUUCAAAUUGGCUUCUUUCACUUGGUGAUAUGCUGUCAAGUUUCUUACAAGUAUUUGAGAGCUUGAGAGUUCAUUUCUUUUUAGUGCUAAAUAAUACUUGGAUGCAUUUAUUGAUUGAAGGACAUCCUGGAUGCUUCCAAGUUUGAGAAUGUUACUAUUUUUAAAUAAUAUGUUUUUUAAUGGCCACAUCUAAGGCUUAUGGAAGUUCCAGGGACUGAAUCUGAGCCACAGCUGUGGCAAGGCUGUAUCCUUUAACCCACUGUGCCAGGCUGGGGAUUGAACCUGCACUACAGUUGGAUUUUUUAUUUUUUAUUUAUUUUUUGUUUUUUUUUAGGACCGAACCCACAGCAUAUGGAAGUUCCCAGGCCAGGGGUUGAAUCAAAGCUGCAGCUGACAGCCACAGCCACAGCCACACCAGAUCCAAACCACAUCUGUGACCUACACCACAGCUCAUAGCAACGCUGGAUCUUUAACCCACUGAGCAAGGCCAGGGAUCAAACCUGCAUCCUCGUGGAUACUGGUCGGCUAUGUUACCACUGAGCCACAAUGGGAACUCCUGCAGUUGGAUUUUUAACCCACUGCACUAUAGCAGAAACUCCAAGUUUGGGAAUUUUAAAUAGAGCUGCAGGUUUUUGUGUAGACAUAGGUUUUCAACUCAUUUGGGUAAAUAACGAGGAGCACUACUGCUGUAUGGUAAAAUCGCUAACCUAUCAUUCAAAGUAACUGUACCAUUUUGCAUCAUUCACACCGGCCAUGAUUAAGAGUUCUUGUUGCUUCAUAUUCUCACCAGCCUUUGAUGGUUCAGUGUUUUCCUUUUUUGCCAUUCUAAUAUGUGAACAGUGGUAUUUCAUUGUUCUAAUUUGCAUUUCCCUUAUGACAUGUGAUAUGGAGCAUCAUAUGCUUAUUUGCCACCUAUAUAUCAUCCCUGGUGAGGUGUCUGUUGAAUCUUUUUUUUUUUCCUUUUUUAUUGUCUUCUGUCUUUUUAGGGCCACAUCCAUGGCAUAUGGAGGCUCCCAGGCUAGGGGUCUAAUCAGAGCGGCAGCCACAGGCCUCCACCACAGCCACAGUCACACCAGAUUUGAGUUGAGUCUGCGGCCCACACCACAGCUUAUGGCAGCGCUGGAUCCUUUACCCAGAGUGAGGCCAGGGAUCGAACCUGCAUCCUCAUGGAUCCUAGUUGGGUUUGUUAAUUACUGAGCCACGAAGGGAACUCCAUGUUGAAUCUUGUGGUUAUUUAUUUGGCUGCUGUGACCUGAUUUUCUUAUUGUUGAGUUUUAAGAGUUCUUUGUAUAUUUUA
Molecule: long non-coding RNA, 2706 nt
Filed under: Sus scrofa (pig)
Lineage: Eukaryota; Metazoa; Chordata; Mammalia; Artiodactyla; Suidae
Description: lncRNA (ENSSSCG00000052853.1)
Source: RNAcentral